AUCCAGCAAUGCCGCGUGUGUGAAGAAGGCCUUCGGGUUGUAAAGCACUUUUGUCCGGAAAGAAAUCCUCUUCGCUAAUACCGAGGGGGGAUGACGGUACCGGAAGAAUAAGCACCGGCUAACUACGUGCCAGCAGCCGCGGUAAUACGUAGGGUGCAAGCGUUAAUCGGAAUUACUGGGCGUAAAGCGUGCGCAGGCGGUUCGCUAAGACAGAUGUGAAAUCCCCGGGCUUAACCUGGGAACUGCAUUUGUGACUGGCGGGCUAGAGUAUGGCAGAGGGGGGUAGAAUUCCACGUGUAGCAGUGAAAUGCGUAGAGAUGUGGAGGAAUACCGAUGGCGAAGGCAGCCCCCUGGGCCAAUACUGACGCUCAUGCACGAAAGCGUGGGGAGCAAACAGGAUUAGAUACCCUG
RNAcentral lists this ribosomal RNA (411 nucleotides) under Burkholderia sp. BB5e. RNAcentral's name for it is "bacterial SSU rRNA". It matches the Rfam family "Bacterial small subunit ribosomal RNA", at positions 386 to 789 of the family's 1533-position model. Lineage: Bacteria; Pseudomonadati; Pseudomonadota; Betaproteobacteria; Burkholderiales; Burkholderiaceae. The record is from RNAcentral.